ACACAUGGUUGUAUUUACAUGUAGGGAGGGGUGUUGGUCUGUUCUACCCUUACACAGGGAAGAAAUACCUAAAAGUCUCUGC
Saccostrea cuccullata (small rock oyster) is the source of this 82-nucleotide long non-coding RNA. RefSeq lists it as uncharacterized. The record is from RefSeq and is a predicted model, not a curated record. NCBI's taxonomy places the organism in Eukaryota, Metazoa, Mollusca, Bivalvia, Ostreida, Ostreidae. The transcript is spliced from 3 exons.